GGGCCUGUAGCUCAGCUGGCAGAGCAUCGGACUUUUAAUCCGCGGGUCGCGGGUUCGAGCCCCGCCGGGCCCA
This 73-nucleotide transfer RNA is filed under the name Leucobacter sp. RNAcentral's name for it is "tRNA-Lys". It matches the Rfam family "tRNA". Rfam says of the family: Transfer RNA (tRNA) molecules are approximately 80 nucleotides in length. Their secondary structure includes four short double-helical elements and three loops (D, anti-codon, and T loops). Further hydrogen bonds mediate the characteristic L-shaped molecular structure. tRNAs have two regions of fundamental functional importance: the anti-codon, which is responsible for specific mRNA codon recognition, and the 3' end, to which the tRNAs corresponding amino acid is attached (by aminoacyl-tRNA synthetases). tRNAs cope with the degeneracy of the genetic code in two manners: having more than one tRNA (with a specific anti-codon) for a particular amino acid; and 'wobble' base-pairing, i.e. permitting non-standard base-pairing at the 3rd anti-codon position. Lineage: Bacteria; Bacillati; Actinomycetota; Actinomycetes; Micrococcales; Microbacteriaceae. RNAcentral also lists the same sequence under 3 other names. The record is from RNAcentral.